Molecule: long non-coding RNA, 1178 nt
Organism: Oncorhynchus keta (chum salmon)
Lineage: Eukaryota; Metazoa; Chordata; Actinopteri; Salmoniformes; Salmonidae
Exons: 4
Source: RefSeq, a predicted model, not a curated record
CUUCAGUGUGUUAGUAGAACAGGUUAGUGAACUCAGCCCCAGGACCAGCUGGAUGAGGGGACUGAGGCUUCAGUGUGUUAGUAGAACAGGUUUGUGAACUCAGCCCCAGGACCAGCUGGAUGAGGGGACUGAGGCUUCAGUGUGUUAGUAGAACAGGUUUGUGAACUCAGCCCCAGGACCAGCUGGAUGAGGGGACUGAGGCUUCAGUGUGUUAGUAGAACAGGUUUGUGAACUCAGCCCCAGGACCAGCUGGAUGAGGGGACUGAGGCUUCAGUGUGUUAGUAGAACAGGUUAGUGAACUCAGCCCCAGGACCAGCUGGAUGAGGGGACUGAGGCUUCAGUGUGUUAGUAGAACAGGUUAGUGAACUCAGCCCCAGGACCAGCUGGAUGAGGGGACUGAGGCUUCAGUGUGUUAGUAGAACAGGUUAGUGAACUCAGCCCCAGGACCAGCUGGAUGAGGGGACUGAGGCUUCAGUGUGUUAGUAGAACAGGUUAGUGAACUCAGCCCCAGGACCAGCUGGAUGAGGGGACUGAGACUUCAGUGUGUUAGUAGAACAGGUUAGUGAACUCAGCCCCAGGACCAGCUGGAUGAGGGGACUGAGGCUUCAGUGUGUUAGUAGAACAGGUUAGUGAACUCAGCCCCAGGACCAGCUGGAUGAGGGGACUGAGGCUUCAGUGUGUUAGUAGAACAGGUUAGUGAACUCAGCCCCAGGACCAGCUGGAUGAGGGGACUGAGGCUUCAGUGUGUUAGUAGAACAGGUUAGUGAACUCAGCCCCAGGACCAGCUGGAUGAGGGGACUGAGGCUUCAGUGUGUUAGUAGAACAGGUUUGUGAACUCAGCCCCAGGACCAGCUGGAUGAGGGGACUGAGGCUUCAGUGUGUUAGUAGAACAGGUUUGUGAACUCAGCCCCAGGACCAGCUGGAUGAGGGGACUGAGGCUUCAGUGUGUUAGUAGAACAGGUUUGUGAACUCAGCCCCAGGACCAGCUGGAUGAUGGGACUGAGGCUUCAGUGUGUUAGUAGAACAGGUUUGUGAACUCAGCCCCAGGACCAGCUGGAUGAGGGGACUGAGGCUUCAGUGUGUUAGUAGAACAGGUUUGUGAACUCAGCCCCAGGACCAGCUGGAUGAGGGGACUGAGGCUUCAGUGUGUUAGUAGAACAGGUUUGUGAACUCAGCCC